This is a long non-coding RNA of Folsomia candida, 541 nucleotides long. RefSeq lists it as uncharacterized. NCBI's taxonomy places the organism in Eukaryota, Metazoa, Arthropoda, Collembola, Entomobryomorpha, Isotomidae. The record is from RefSeq and is a predicted model, not a curated record. The transcript has 2 exons.
AAAUUUAUCCAACAAUAAUAUUUAUCACCAAAGAGACAAGGUGGUAAUUAGUGGGGAAUAAAAGCAACUAUUGCAGCCUAGUUUUCAAUCAGUCUGUUCCGACGCUCAGUAAUCACCAGCUAAGCUUUUUUUAUAUUCACCAAUCCGCAGAAUAUCGACAAUUCAUCCGGGGCGAUGAAGACGAGGUACGCUUUCUGUAUCAUAUUUCUCUUCUCAGCCACCCUCUUGGACCAAGUGUGGGGUGAAAAUGAAAGUUGUGGUCCCCGGUCUCGUCCAGACCCUGGACUAUGCCCCUUUCAAAAUGGGGUCACAAUGCGCUGCGAAUACCAAGUUGGUCUUGGGGGAGGAUGCGCUUGUUGGCAAUGCAAAUGUCCAAGCUGGGCGCCGCAUGUAGAAGGUCAUGGUUGCGUCCCCCUGCCCUGUUGUUAAAAGGCGGAGAUCGAGGCGUAAUUAAAUUCCUUAGCUUACUGUUCUAUUAGUAAUUUGAUCAAAUUGGCUUUCCAUAAAAAAUAAAUCAGAACAUCUAUCAAUGCAUGACAAA